RNAcentral lists this long non-coding RNA (1043 nucleotides) under Fukomys damarensis (Damara mole-rat). RNAcentral describes it as "lncRNA (ENSFDAG00000031945.1)". Lineage: Eukaryota; Metazoa; Chordata; Mammalia; Rodentia; Bathyergidae. The record is from RNAcentral.
GGACGAGCAGUACAUUGAGUGCAGCCAAACGGCUGCGGAAGAGGUCGCCACAUCACAUGACUUCACCUGUCCCGGGCGGUGCGAGAUCUUUGCGUCACUUCCGGUGUGUGGCUGUGGGGAGAAGCCCGCUUGUGCCUCCGUGAUUGAGUCAUUUGGCAGUGCCUGCUUUUCUGCUGUUUAGAGUAUCACCAGUGCCGUGUCAUGAGCGUCAAAGAAAAUAUCUAGAGAUACUUUAAGCUCAUGUCAUCAUGAUAUUUCUUAAGCCUUAUCAGAAAGUGAAUGAAGUAUUUCUGGAAUCUGGAAAUUCAGCUGCCUUUUCUUUCAGGUGGCAGUUACACAUUGCAGAGGCCGCAAGAAGGGAACAAAGGAGAUCCCUCAAGAGAACCAACUGGCUGAUAAGCAGCGAAAGCAGCAGCUCAAAAACCCUUCCACCUGGAGCCUGCACAGGCACCCUUAUUCUGGGAAGAUCCUCUUGGAAAUGCCAGACCUGUUUACAACAAAGCAGAGACAGAGCAGGCCCUGCACAAGGAUGUCAGCUUGUCCCUUCCACGUGGUUCUAGGAAGGGGGUAAACUGCUAAUAUCCACAGCCAAUCAAUGGAAAAUCCUUAAAAACCUCCACCAAGUCUUUCACAUAUCAAAUGACCCUGAGGCUAUUUAAAAGGGUUUAGUCAAACAGUUCAUCAAGUUGGAAGUGUACAUGAGCUUUACUAACAGUGUAACUCUCCUGCCAGGCACGGUGGCACAGGCUUGUAAUCCUAGCCAUCAGGAGACUGAGACAGGAGGAUCACCAUGAAUUUGAGGCCAGCCUGGGCCUUAUAGUGAGCUCAAGACCAACCUGAACUACAUAGGAACACCUUGCCUCAAAAAAAACUCUAAACAAAAAAGAUUUCACCCCUGAAAACUAAUGAAAUGGGGCAUACCUUGGAAAAGAUUGACAGAUUUCCCCAUACAUCCCAGAUUGGGGAACCCAGCUAUUCUUAGGAUGAGUAGACACUUUCCCUGAUUGGGUAGAGGCCUUCCCAUCUAAGACAGAGAUGACUGU